AGUGAACGCUGGCGGUAGGCCUAACACAUGCAAGUCGAACGGCAGCACAGUAAGAGCUUGCUCUUACGGGUGGCGAGUGGCGGACGGGUGAGGAAUACAUCGGAAUCUACUUUUUCGUGGGGGAUAGCGUAGGGAAACUUACGCUAAUACCGCAUACGACCUACGGGUGAAAGCAGGGGAUCUUCGGACCUUGCGCGAUUGAAUGAGCCGAUGUCGGAUUAGCUAGUUGGCGGGGUAAAGGCCCAUCAAGGCGACGAUCCGUAGCUGGUCUGAGAGGAUGAUCAGCCACACUGGAACUGAGACACGGUCCAGACUCCUACGGGAGGCAGCAGUGGGGAAUAUUGGACAAUGGGCGCAAGCCUGAUCCAGCCAUACCGCGUGGGUGAAGAAGGCCUUCGGGUUGUAAAGCCCUUUUGUUGGGAAAGAAAGGCAGCAGGUUAAUACCCCGCUGUUCUGACGGUACCCAAAGAAUAAGCACCGGCUAACUUCGUG
This 492-nucleotide ribosomal RNA is filed under the name uncultured bacterium. RNAcentral describes it as "partial 16S ribosomal RNA". It matches the Rfam family "Bacterial small subunit ribosomal RNA", at positions 29 to 507 of the family's 1533-position model. The record is from RNAcentral.